This 856-nucleotide ribosomal RNA is filed under the name Triticum aestivum (bread wheat). Its description in RNAcentral is "partial small subunit ribosomal RNA". The record is from RNAcentral. Lineage: Eukaryota; Viridiplantae; Streptophyta; Magnoliopsida; Poales; Poaceae.
GUUGUGGCCAUCAUUAAGAGUAUUCUGCCUCUGAAGUAUUUUUUUUUCUUGUAUAUUAGUGUUUUGAUUCUUGGGGCGCUUGACAAGCGCUUCACAAAUUAAGUUCUUGUUAACAAUUUCAGAGGUGGAGGCUGGCCUGCAGCUCGUGUGCGUGAAAGAGAAGCACACUUCAUUGAGAAGUUUUUGCCGCUAUCCUCGGUGGCACCGCCAGUGACCAAACUUGGUGUGGACAACAUGCUGGAGAGAGAAUGUUCAUCCCUAUGAUCCCUUUGGCGCCCUCGGAGGACAUUUCGCUUCCUUUCAAAUUGAAGAGGAAACAAUUCCCUGGAUGGAUCCUGGAAAGCCUCUUCCGGAACCAAGUCCCCUCCCCACUCGGAGUCCUCCGCCGCUGACGCAUGGGUAAGCGCAAGAGCUGUAGCCCGUCCACACGGUUUAGCGAGCUGCCGCCAUCGUAGAUAACCAAGACAUACACGGAAAUAAGCAAGAUUCAGUGCGCCGCCCUGCCCCCACGCGUUAUGAGGGUGCGACGUCCUCGACGUGUCCAAGACAGGGUCCAGGAAGACCCUCUCCUUCGUGAUCCCGAUAGGCCCAAUCUUCCUCGACGAGGGGUUGUGAUGGCGGGCACAGCGUUGCUGGAUGACGCUGAGAGUAUAGUGGGUGGGUUCAAGUACAUCCCUCUGUGCCAGCAUGCAGCGGGUCUGCCGACAGGGAGAGCCAGGAAGAGAAUGUAGUCCGCGGCAGCUGAGCGGGAAGGGGGGCAGCUUGCCGUGAUUGAAGAACAUGACGACCAUGCUGAUACAAGGUCAGUGAUGUAGACAGGGAAGAUGGACCCUCAUGCCCCUGGGUGGACGAAGAG